GAGUUCUUGGAAGAAGAUUUUGCACAUGCUUCCUCAUCAAAGAUGCAGCGGAGAAGGCGAUUACGUGUGCAAUGUAACCCCUUCGAUUUAGAGGAUGCUGAGUUUAUCAAACGGUACCGGUUGACGAAAGAUUUCGCGCAAAGUUUGUGCGAUGAGCUCGCACCUACCAUGAAGAAUCCCACUAAAUCUACCGAUUUAUCUGUAGGGACUAAGGUAUUGACUGCGUUGUCAUUUUAUGCGACUGGGUCAUAUCAACGUCCUACAGGUAAUAUUGAAGGACAUUCCAUGGCUCAGCAGACAGUUUCCUCUUCAAUAGCCUUACUGCUUGCCUCAACUCUAUGGAAAUGAGGCAGAAAUAUAUUUCAUUCCCCUCUACCGAACAAGAACGAAACAGAAUAAAAACAGAAUUCUACAAUAAAUUCAAUAUUCCGGGG
Melitaea cinxia (Glanville fritillary) is the source of this 434-nucleotide long non-coding RNA. RefSeq lists it as uncharacterized. The transcript has 3 exons. The record is from RefSeq and is a predicted model, not a curated record. Lineage: Eukaryota; Metazoa; Arthropoda; Insecta; Lepidoptera; Nymphalidae.